RNAcentral lists this ribosomal RNA (617 nucleotides) under Phonognatha graeffei. RNAcentral's name for it is "SSU rRNA". It matches the Rfam family "Eukaryotic small subunit ribosomal RNA", at positions 1124 to 1758 of the family's 1831-position model. Lineage: Eukaryota; Metazoa; Arthropoda; Arachnida; Araneae; Araneidae. The record is from RNAcentral.
UAUGGUUGCAAAGCUGAAACUUAAAGGAAUUGACGGAAGGGCACCACCAGAAAUGGAGCCUGCGGCUUAAUUUGACUCAACGCGGGUAAACUCACCCGGCCCGGACACAGGAAGGAUUGACAGAUUAAGAGCUCUUUCUUGAUUCUGUGGGUGGUGGUGCAUGGCCGUUCUUAGUUGGUGGGGCGACUUGUCUGGUUAAUUCCGAUAACGAACGAGACUCUAGCCUACUAAAUAGACGCUCCGAUCCUUCGAGUCGGACGUUCUUCUUAGAGGGACAAGCGGCGCUUAGCCGCACGAAACAGAGCAAUAACAGGUCUGGGAUGCCCUUAGAUGUCCGGGGCCGCACGCGCGCUACAUUGAAGGAAUCAGCGUGUGCUUUCCCUAUCCGACAGGAUUGGGUAACCCGCUGAACCUCCUUCGUGCUGGGGAUAGGAGCUUGUAAUUGUUCUCCUUGAACGAGGAAUUCCCAGUAAGCACGAGUCAUAAUCUCGUGUUGAUUACGUCCCUGCCCUUUGUCCACACCGCCCGUCGCUACUACUGAUUGAAUGAUUUAGUGAGGUCUUCGGACUGGCGCUCGGAUUGUGCCUUCGGGUCGAGCCGAAGUCCCGGAAAGAUGA